UACAGAGGGGGCAAGCGUUGUUCGGAAUUACUGGGCGUAAAGGGCGCGUAGGCGGCCUUCUAAGUCGAACGUGAAAUCCCCGGGCUCAACCCGGGAACUGCGUCCGAUACUGGAAGGCUUGAAUCCGGGAGAGGGAUGUGGAAUUCCAGGUGUAGCGGCGAAAUGCGUAGAUAUCUGGAGGAACACCGGUGGCGAAGGCGACAUCCUGGACCGGUAUUGACGCUGAGGCGCGAAAGCCAGGGGAGCAAACGGG
RNAcentral lists this ribosomal RNA (253 nucleotides) under uncultured bacterium. RNAcentral's name for it is "partial 16S ribosomal RNA". It matches the Rfam family "Bacterial small subunit ribosomal RNA", at positions 524 to 776 of the family's 1533-position model. The record is from RNAcentral.